Hypanus sabinus (Atlantic stingray) is the source of this 161-nucleotide small nuclear RNA. RefSeq annotates it as U4 spliceosomal RNA. Lineage: Eukaryota; Metazoa; Chordata; Chondrichthyes; Myliobatiformes; Dasyatidae. The record is from RefSeq and is a predicted model, not a curated record. The transcript has a single exon.
AGCUUUGCGUAGUGGCAGUAUCAUAGCCGAUUAUGUUUACCUGAGGCGCAAUUAUUGCUUAUUGGAAACUUUUCCCAAUACCCCCCAAGAAGAUUAUCCUGUACAAAUUUUGCUAGCCUGAUUACACUGCCAGACACAUUCCCCUCCCCUCUCAGCAUAGG